RNAcentral lists this long non-coding RNA (1162 nucleotides) under Sus scrofa (pig). Its description in RNAcentral is "lncRNA (ENSSSCG00060028933.1)". Lineage: Eukaryota; Metazoa; Chordata; Mammalia; Artiodactyla; Suidae. The record is from RNAcentral.
AGGGUACUCAUUAUUUUGCCAUUGCUACAGGCCCUCAUCAAACCCUUCCAGGUGACUGGUCAUGUCCAAUUCACAAGACUGUCCCUAAGGUAAUAUUCCUAAAGCCCGUGUAUGUAAAUGUUUAGGGUGGUGGGUUGGGAGUAUGCUUGUCUUAUCCAACCAGAUAACACCCAAGUAUCUGAUAGAUAAUCCUGGUCCUGGUGUUUUGUCUGUAUUCACCAGCCAUCCCUUGUGCAGUCAGAUGAGCCACAGGCAUGGGGCUGUUACUUUUAAACUGGAAAGAGACUCUGAGGUUAACAGGAUAUCAUCAAUGUGAUGAAAGAAAAAGACCACUCUCAUGGCGGUCAGCUGCCACAGGGCCCCACGUGCUAGCCUUCCACAACCUGUCUUUAUUUCCCAACAUCUUGGGUGCUCAUGGGAAUUUCCUUAGUCUGCUGACUGGCUCACCAAUUGUUGGAGGGCACCUCAUGGGCCAGCAAGAGCAAAGGGAAAGAACAGAUCCUCCCCCAGAGCCUUCUGUGGGAACAUGGCUCUGCUGACAAUUGAUUCCAGGCUUCUAGCCUCCAGAAUGUCAGCGAAUACACGUCUGUUGUGUUCAGCCACCCAGCCUUUCUAGUGCCUGGGUGUGAUCACGGAGUCUCCAUGGGGCAUUUACAAAAACCGACCCCUUCAGGGCUUUGGGGCCUGAAGGCAGGACUCCCAUGAACACUUGCCACAUCAUACGGCCCCACAGUGUUCCCAACAGAUCAGGUGUAUUAGGAAAACCCCACAGGGUGGCCCCUCAAGACAGCAGUCACCUCCCAGUUUGUGGCUGAGUUCUGCAGGUUCUGAGUGUGACACCCCUCAUGGAAGACCAAGGCCCCAUCCUGAGUUUCCUUGGGAGACGUCACCAAGACCAAGCCAGCCCUUCUUGGUUUUCCUGGAAGUUCCCGUCUUGGCACAGUGGUUAAAGAAUCCGACUAAGAACCAUGAACUUUCAGGUUUGAUUCCUGCCCUUGCUCAGUGGGUUAACGAUCCGGCGUUGCCAUGAGCUGUGGUGUGGGUCACAGACGUGGCUUGGAUCCCGAGUUGCUGUGGCUCUGGCGUAGGCCAGUGGCUACAGCUCCGAUUAGACCCCUAGCCUGGGAACCUCCAUAUGCCGCGGGAGUGACCCAAGAAAUGG